RNAcentral lists this ribosomal RNA (594 nucleotides) under uncultured bacterium. RNAcentral's name for it is "bacterial SSU rRNA". It matches the Rfam family "Bacterial small subunit ribosomal RNA", at positions 912 to 1507 of the family's 1533-position model. The record is from RNAcentral.
GACGGGGGCCCGCACAAGCAGCGGAGCAUGUGGUUUAAUUCGAAGCAACGCGAAGAACCUUACCUAGACUUGACAUCUCCUGCAUUACCCUUAAUCGGGGAAGUUCCUUCGGGGACAGGAAGACAGGUGGUGCAUGGUUGUCGUCAGCUCGUGUCGUGAGAUGUUGGGUUAAGUCCCGCAACGAGCGCAACCCUUAUUGUUAGUUGCUACCAUUUAGUUGAGCACUCUAGCGAGACUGCCCGGGUUAACCGGGAGGAAGGUGGGGAUGACGUCAAAUCAUCAUGCCCCUUAUGUCUAGGGCUACACACGUGCUACAAUGGCUGGUACAGAGAGAUGCUAAACCGUGAGGUGGAGCUAAACUUUAAAACCAGUCUCAGUUCGGAUUGUAGGCUGAAACUCGCCUACAUGAAGCUGGAGUUGCUAGUAAUCGCGAAUCAGAAUGUCGCGGUGAAUACGUUCCCGGGCCUUGUACACACCGCCCGUCACACCAUGAGAGUUGGCAAUACCCAAAGUUGGUGAUCUAACCCGUAAGGGAGGAAGCCACCUAAGGUAGGGUCAGCGAUUGGGGUGAAGUCGUAACAAGGGGCCGUAGGA